UACAGAGGUCUCAAGCGUUGUUCGGAUUCAUUGGGCGUAAAGGGUGCGUAGGCGGCGCGGUAAGUCGGGUGUGAAAUCUUGGAGCUUAACUCCGAAACUGCAUUCGAUACUGCCGUGCUUGAGGACUGGAGAGGAGACUGGAAUUUACGGUGUAGCGGUGAAAUGCGUAGAUAUCGUAAGGAACACCAGUGGCGAAGGCGGGUCUCUGGACAGUAACUGACGCUGAGGCACGAAAGUCAGGGGAGCAAACGGG
Molecule: ribosomal RNA, 253 nt
Filed under: uncultured bacterium
Lineage: Bacteria
Description: partial 16S ribosomal RNA
Rfam family: Bacterial small subunit ribosomal RNA
Source: RNAcentral